UGCAUGAAUAGAUUACUGGGGGAUCGUCUGAACAAGGCCUGCGCUUAAUUGCGCGGCCAGUUCUUGAUUCUCUGCUAUCAGUUUUCUAUUUCUCAUCCUAAACACAAUGGAGUUUUUUCUCUAUGAACUACUUCCCUGGAGAGCUCGUCUCUCCAGUGGACAUAAACACAAACAAUAUUUUGUAUUAUGAAAAACUAUUAUACUAUAAAAUUUAAUAUUCAAAACUUUCAACAACGGAUCUCUUGGUUCUCGCAUCGAUGAAGAACGCAGCGAAUUGCGAUAUGUAUUGUGAAUUGCAGAUUUUCGUGAAUCAUCAAAUCUUUGAACGCACAUUGCGCCCUCUGGUAUUCCAGGGGGCAUGCCUGUUUGAGCGUCAUUUCUCUCUCAAACCUUUGGGUUUGGUAGUGAGUGAUACUCGUCUCGGGUUAACUUGAAAGUGGCUAGCCGUUGCCAUCUGCGUGAGCAGGGCUGCGUGUCAAGUCUAUGGACUCGACUCUUGCACAUCUACGUCUUAGGUUUGCGCCAAUUCGUGGUAAGCUUGGGUCAUAGAGACUCAUAGGUGUUAUAAAGACUCGCUGGUGUUUGUCUCCUUGAGGCAUACGGCUUUAACCAAAACUCUCAAAGUUUGACCUCAAAUCAGGUAGGAGUCA
This 650-nucleotide ribosomal RNA is filed under the name Kluyveromyces marxianus. RNAcentral describes it as "eukaryotic LSU rRNA". The stretch from base 223 to 376 matches the Rfam family "5.8S ribosomal RNA". The record is from RNAcentral. Lineage: Eukaryota; Fungi; Ascomycota; Saccharomycetes; Saccharomycetales; Saccharomycetaceae.